CGUAGGGUGCGAGCGUUGUCCGGAAUUAUUGGGCGUAAAGAGCUCGUAGGCGGUUUGUCGCGUCUAUCGUGAAAACUGGAGGCUUAACUUUCAGCGUGCGGUGGAUACGGGCAGACUUGAGUUCGGUAGGGGAGACUGGAAUUCCUGGUGUAGCGGUGAAAUGCGCAGAUAUCAGGAGGAACACCGGUGGCGAAGGCGGGUCUCUGGGCCGAUACUGACGCUGAGGAGCGAAAGCGUGGGGAGCGAACAGGAUUAGAUACCCUGGUAGUCCACGCUGUAAACGGUUGGGCGCUAGGUGGUGGGGAGUCUUUUUGUUUCCGUGCCGUAGCUAACGCAUUAAGCCGCCCCGCCUGGGGGUACGGCCGCAAGGCUA
This 373-nucleotide ribosomal RNA is filed under the name uncultured organism. Its description in RNAcentral is "bacterial SSU rRNA". It matches the Rfam family "Bacterial small subunit ribosomal RNA", at positions 526 to 896 of the family's 1533-position model. The record is from RNAcentral.